RNAcentral lists this transfer RNA (72 nucleotides) under Berkeleya fennica. RNAcentral's name for it is "tRNA-Glu". It matches the Rfam family "tRNA". From Rfam's summary of the family: Transfer RNA (tRNA) molecules are approximately 80 nucleotides in length. Their secondary structure includes four short double-helical elements and three loops (D, anti-codon, and T loops). Lineage: Eukaryota; Bacillariophyta; Bacillariophyceae; Naviculales; Berkeleyaceae. The record is from RNAcentral.
GUCCUUAUCGUCUAGGGGUUAGGACAUUGCCCUUUCACGGCAAUAACAUGGGUUCAAAUCCCAUUAAGGAUA